This 21-nucleotide non-coding RNA is filed under the name Caenorhabditis elegans. Lineage: Eukaryota; Metazoa; Nematoda; Chromadorea; Rhabditida; Rhabditidae. The record is from RNAcentral.
UCUGCAGGAGUAUCGAUUGAA